This 1377-nucleotide long non-coding RNA is filed under the name Capra hircus (goat). RNAcentral's name for it is "lncRNA (ENSCHIG00010009469.1)". Lineage: Eukaryota; Metazoa; Chordata; Mammalia; Artiodactyla; Bovidae. The record is from RNAcentral.
UAAAACCAGCUUGAACAUCUGGAAGUUCACAGUUCACGUAUUGCUGAAGUUUGAUCAUCCUAAAAAGGUUUUUGGGCCCACCAUCUAUCUGGACUCCAGCCUCAUAGACCCCCUAUCUCCCACCAACUUGUGAUCUCCCCUUGGUUGCCUGGAUCUUGCUGCCCUGUCAGCGGCCCCUCCUGGUUGGAAGGCUCAGGCUCCCCCUCUUCCAGCAGAAUCUCCUCACUAAGCUCCCUCCUUGGGUGGGGGCCAGAUUCCCUAGGUGCCCUUCCAUUCCCUCUGGGCCCUGGUCCCUUCCUUUCCUUCUGGGUCCCUAGGGCCCAUGCUGAGAGCAACGUCCAUGACUGAGCCACUGGUGGAAAGCACUGAUCUUGGGAAAAAAGGCUCUUUGUGACUCUUGGGCAUUGCUGUGGCUCCUAUCAGCUGUGAAAAAAAUCAAAGCACCUGUGUGCCUAGCCUAGAAUUAGCCAAUUCCCCCUAACUGCCUAAAGAACUCACCUGAGCAGAAAGGGUACUAUCACCAUAGAUGACUAGGGUGUGAACUAGGUGUGUAGACAGGGAAGAAUGCAGCAAAGUGUGUUUGUUAGAAUUCCUCUCUGUGUCCCAUUGUCUCUGCAGGCCCAGCAAACAUUUGUUUACCAAUAACUCGCUUUUCCUUGGUUGCCUUCCUCCCUUUGGAGGUUUCAAAUCACUACCCCAAACAUCCUCUCUUGUCUUUAGGUGAAGAUGUUAUUUAAGGUGAGGGUUCAGCAAGUUACUCAGUUUUCCUUGAUCUCUCCUAUGAAUACACGUUAUUAAAAAUUUGCUUGAUUUUCUCCUGUUAAUCUGUCUCAUAUCAAGUUCAUUCUUAGACCAACCAGAACUUACAAGGGUAGAGGAAAAUGUCUUCCUCCCCAACAUUUACCUUGGGGUAAAUGAAACAUCAAACCUGCCUGGAAGUGAUGCAGUCUAGUGAAGAAAGACAGACAGACGCUCAGCAGCCAUAGAUGUCCUUACCAGAAGACAGUGAGGGGAUCCUCUCCAGCAUUAGGAUCAGCAGCCUAAUUCCCCAGGCGAAUCACCCUUGGAAUAGAACAUGGGGGUCCCAAACUGCUACCAGGAUGGAGCAUCUCCUGGGGAGGGUGCUAGAGGGCAGAGGGCAGACCUCCCAGAGGGUGGGGAAAUGGUACCUAAAGGAAGACAGACUUGGUGCCACCUCCCACCUAGGUCUCUGGGCUUUUGUGGUAUAAAUGGAUGCAAAGAAGAAAUGGACACGUUAAGAGUGGCUGGACUUGAUUUAUAUUGAAAAGGACAGGAAAUGAGCUGGUUGAGAGUGUGAGGAGGACUGAGCUGUGGUAGACACAGUCAUCAGGCUGUCCUCUGUGCUAUCAUAUAAUC